GACGAACGCUGGCGGCGUGCUUAACACAUGCAAGUCGAACGGAAAGGCCUUUUCGGAGGUACUCGAGUGGCGAACGGGUGAGUAACACGUGGGUGAUCUGCCCUGCACUCUGGGAUAAGCCUGGGAAACUGGGUCUAAUACCGGAUAGGACCGCACUUUAGUGUGUGUGGUGGAAAGUUUUUUCGGUGUAGGAUGAGCCCGCGGCCUAUCAGCUUGUUGGUGGGGUAAUGGCCUACCAAGGCGGCGACGGGUAGCCGGACUGAGAGGUUGGUCGGCCACAUUGGGACUGAGAUACGGCCCAGACUCCUACGGGAGGCAGCAAUGGGGAAUAUUGCACAAUGGGCGCAAGCCUGAUGCAGCGACGCCGCGUGGGGGAUGACGGCCUUCGGGUUGUAAACUCCUUUCGCCAGGGACGAAGCGUUUUGUGACGGUACCUGGAGAAGAAGCACCGGCUAACUACGUG
RNAcentral lists this ribosomal RNA (463 nucleotides) under uncultured bacterium. RNAcentral describes it as "partial 16S ribosomal RNA". It matches the Rfam family "Bacterial small subunit ribosomal RNA", at positions 28 to 507 of the family's 1533-position model. The record is from RNAcentral.